Molecule: long non-coding RNA, 633 nt
Organism: Apis dorsata (giant honeybee)
Lineage: Eukaryota; Metazoa; Arthropoda; Insecta; Hymenoptera; Apidae
Exons: 3
Source: RefSeq, a predicted model, not a curated record
AAUAAUAUCAAUAAAUUAUUUUUCAAAUGUGUUUGUUGUAUGUAUAUCAUUUCUAUGUUCUAUCCAUUUGUUUUAGAUCAGAUAAAUUGGAAAGAUAAUAUUGGUGAUAAAAUUUUACAAGUCACAGUGAUAAGUUUUCUUGCUUAAUAAUAGCAAGAGAUAGUGAAUCACAGUUAAAUGAAGGGAGAAAAGAAGAAACUGGAAAUUUUCUUGUUCUCAACCGCCGCCGCCAACCGGUUCGUCUAUUUCAUUCGAGUUUUCAAAGUUUUCUCCGCCGUUAAUGGGACUGGCUGUUGUAUUGCGAAAAGAAAAGGUGGCGGAGGGAUGGCAGCGGUGGAAGGAAGGAAGAGGAGAAUGGCAUGGCACCGUGCAUUCUUCGUAGACUGGGUACACAGAGACACGCGAUGUUUCGAGGACUCCAUCGAGAAAUAUCGAUCCUGCUAUGUCCACUGACUUGGGCUAAGUGUUUCGUCGAGGAUUGCGUUGCUUAGAAGAAUCAUGAUAACAAUCUACUUUAUAUCUUGAUCAAAAAAAAAAAUUUAAAAAAGAAAAGUAUGAUAUACACACAUUCGUUAACUUAAUAAUAAAUGAAUAAAGUGCAGUUUACUUCAAACUUUGUCACAAGAUAAUCCG